Molecule: transfer RNA, 89 nt
Filed under: Streptomyces reticuli
Lineage: Bacteria; Bacillati; Actinomycetota; Actinomycetes; Kitasatosporales; Streptomycetaceae
Description: tRNA-Thr
Source: RNAcentral
CGGUCGGCUGGAGGGGCAGCCCGCCCGGCGGGGUCGGUCGGAGGGCGUGGGUCGCUCGGCUCGGUCGGUUGGAGGCCGGCCCGCCCGGC